CGGGGUGGAGCAGCUCGGUAGCUCGCUGGGCUCAUAACCCAGAGGUCGCAGGUUCAAAUCCUGUCCCCGCUA
Molecule: transfer RNA, 72 nt
Filed under: Rhodococcus sp. (in: high G+C Gram-positive bacteria)
Lineage: Bacteria; Bacillati; Actinomycetota; Actinomycetes; Mycobacteriales; Nocardiaceae
Also listed under: 16 other names
Description: Rhodococcus sp. (freshwater metagenome) tRNA-Met
Rfam family: tRNA
About the family: Transfer RNA (tRNA) molecules are approximately 80 nucleotides in length.
Source: RNAcentral